Non-coding RNA from Callithrix jacchus (white-tufted-ear marmoset), 963 nucleotides. Lineage: Eukaryota; Metazoa; Chordata; Mammalia; Primates; Cebidae. The record is from RefSeq and is a predicted model, not a curated record.
CAUAUAAAUGAGUGGAGACAUGGAACUCACCCUUACAAGGCCUAGAACCUGACAGAGCAUACAAGACUGAAGCCCAAAUAACCAAGAACAGGAAGCUGAAGUCCCCUUAUAGGUCACUAUGGGGAACUUCCUAGGCCCCAGGGCUGGCCUCAUUUAUGCCUGGUGCCGGGAGGCAGUGGCGUCAUGUUGUGGGACUCAGUCUGUGGCAGCUACACCACCAGAAUCCACGACUGCAGAGCCUGACUUUGUAUAUGCCGGAGUGGUGGAGGUCCAGCAUGUGCAGCCCAAGUCAAAGCGGCGCAAAGGUUUGGCUGGCCGCGUGAGGAGCUGGGUACAAAAACGGAGGCGUAAAAAAAUUUGCCCCACUGCAAAUGAAGCUCCUCUUCAAGACCAGAAGAAAACCUUAAGAGACGUGAAAACCUUAAAGAGACAUCACCUGACAUAGAGAAACAUGUCACCCAGUAUUGCCACCGUGCUGUUCAGGUCCCACAAGACCUCAGCCUGGAACACAUCAAGGAUGAUGAGCCACCCCGUGAUGUGAAGAAGCCCACCGUUUGGUGUUACCGCCGUCCCGUUGAAAUCCCGCAUGACCUCAUAUUAGAAGACAUCGAGGAUGAGGAGCUACCCCGUGACGAGGAGAAGCCCGCCGUUUCGUGUCACCGCCGUCCCGUUGAGGUCCUGCAGGACCUCAUAUUAGAAGACAUCGAGGAUGAGGAGCUACCCCGUGACGAGGAGAAGCCCGCCGUUUCGUGUCACCGCCGUCCCGUUGAGGUCCUGCAGGACCUCAUAUUAGAAGACAUCGAGGAUGAGGAGCUACCCCGUGACGAGGUAAGAUGCAUUUCUUUGUCUCAAAGAGAAAUUUUUCUUUCUGGGGCCUCUGGAAUAUCAAGUGAAUAUCCUUUUUGACUGCCAUUGUGAAUCGGACCUCAGGUGUCGUGGAGUCCGGCGACCAGUCAGUGGAGU